UCUACUCGUCCAACAUGUUUUGGAGUGUCCUUCUCCUCCUCUAUUGCUGCUCAGGUGCCACUUCACAGUCCACCUUGACUCAGCCUGCCUCCCUGUCUGAGUCUCUAGGAGGGACAGUUAAACUCUCCUGUGCCAGCAGCAGCAGUCCAAACCGAAUUCACUGGCUUCAGCAGAGAUCUGGAGGAGUUCCUCGCUUUGUGCACUGUGAUGGCUGCAGCAUCUGGGGACCAGGGAUCACGGACCGAUUCAUGGCAACCCGAUCAGGCAACAACGGCUACUUAACCAUCACCGACCUUCGGGCUGAAGACGAGGCCAAUUAUCACUGUUACAUGUGGUAUAGCAGUGGUUCAGAGCUCCACAACCUCCAGGUGACCCACCUCAACUAA
This is a non-coding RNA of Thamnophis elegans (Western terrestrial garter snake), 386 nucleotides long. The record is from the annotation of a RefSeq genome assembly. NCBI's taxonomy places the organism in Eukaryota, Metazoa, Chordata, Lepidosauria, Squamata, Natricidae.